RNAcentral lists this ribosomal RNA (483 nucleotides) under uncultured bacterium. Its description in RNAcentral is "partial 16S ribosomal RNA". It matches the Rfam family "Bacterial small subunit ribosomal RNA", at positions 28 to 507 of the family's 1533-position model. The record is from RNAcentral.
GAUGAACGCUGGCGGCGUGCCUAACACAUGCAAGUCGAACGGAGUCGUUUUGGAAAUCUCUUCGGAGAUGGAAUUCUCGACUUAGUGGCGGACGGGUGAGUAACGCGUGAGCAAUCUGCCUUUAAGAGGGGGAUAACAGUCGGAAACGGCUGCUAAUACCGCAUAAAGCAUUAAAUUCGCAUGUUUUUGAUGCCAAAGGAGCAAUCCGCUUUUAGAUGAGCUCGCGUCUGAUUAGCUAGUUGGCGGGGUAACGGCCCACCAAGGCGACGAUCAGUAGCCGGACUGAGAGGUUGAACGGCCACAUUGGGACUGAGACACGGCCCAGACUCCUACGGGAGGCAGCAGUGGGGAAUAUUGCGCAAUGCGGGAAACCCUGACGCAGCAACGCCGCGUGAUUGAAGAAGGCCUUCGGGUUGUAAAGAUCUUUAAUCAGGGACGAAACAAAUGACGGUACCUGAAGAAUAAGCUCCGGCUAACUACGUG